This is a long non-coding RNA of Salmo salar (Atlantic salmon), 1140 nucleotides long. RefSeq lists it as uncharacterized. Lineage: Eukaryota; Metazoa; Chordata; Actinopteri; Salmoniformes; Salmonidae. The record is from RefSeq and is a predicted model, not a curated record.
UCGUAAGUACGCAUUUCACUGUACGGUCUACACCUGUUGCAUUCGGCGCAUGUGACAAAUACAAUUUGAUUUGACGUAAUAAAGAUGGCUCUCUUGCCUAAGUAACAUUUAUGUCGUGACACACUUUAUUUGAGUCAGGAGACACAUCUCAGUCAACCAAUGACAGGCCAGUUUAACUCCCACCAUGUCACUGUCAUGAGACCAGCAAUGACAUUUUUAUUUUUAGUGCACCUACACUGACUGUCGCAGAGGGACAUGAUUAGGGUAGAGAGAUAUGCCUUCAUGUAAACACGUUAUAGACCUACUAUGCACAGUAAUGCACUAGUCAAGUGAACACUUGUGUUGUGACCCUAUAUAUUUUGUAAGAGCAUAUUUCUAUCCCCAAAACAUCCUAAGUGAUUUCCUGCGACAUGGCACGGGUAUAGACAGCAGCGAUACAAAAGAGCCGGUCCAUCCGGUCCAGGCGUAGUUUGUCCAGCUCCAGCCUCAACUCCUCUGUCUCCGGGCUGAUGCUGUUCCUGCUGACCAUCACCUCCAGGAUCUCCAGCACCCGCACCACUUUUGGCAUGAGCCUGGACAGAGCUUCGCAUCCAUACUGAUCAAUGAUCCGCUCAAACUCCUGGCCCACCACCGCGGCUAUGUCAUACACGUCCAUAACCGUUAAAUCGGCCACAUUCUUCUCCAACGCUGACCCAAACUCUUCCAUGGCUGACUGGGUGGGUGGGUUUGUAUUCUGACUGUCCCCCGCUCUGGCAGUUUUCCGCAGUCUCUCCCUGCUUUACAGGGCUAUUAUAUUUCCUUCGACACAACAAACUUCCUCCCCUCGGAAAAAGUAUUUACUUUUGGUUGUUCUGCAGGUUCUGUGUGUAUCGUAUCCACUUCAAUAAGUACAGAUGCGUAUCGAUUGGGGGUUUCUACUCGCGUCGGACAUCUUGUCAGCGAGUUUUGAUCAAUUUGAUAAAAUCACCCGCUUUCCUAUUGCGGUCCUGCCUGGGCUGUCGUUCUCUCCCGAUUAUGUGGUCAGAUUGCAGUUUGUAAUGCGCAUGUCAGGAAUAUCAAUCGGUUGAGGUCGCCGCUAGGGUGAAUUUGAAAAAUAAAUAAAAACAUGACUCUCAGUCUGAGUGGUGUGAAAAGAAGAUA